Molecule: long non-coding RNA, 1154 nt
Organism: Peromyscus eremicus (cactus mouse)
Lineage: Eukaryota; Metazoa; Chordata; Mammalia; Rodentia; Cricetidae
Exons: 5
Source: RefSeq, a predicted model, not a curated record
UUCCGCUCAGGGUUCAGGGAGCUUUGUGGAAGAGGAGGCCAAGAGAUCACAGGAGCUAGAGUGGCUGGAAGAUACUGGUGAAAUUAUUAAGGCCACUCCACGUAGUUAAAGGGAGAUUUAUUUAGUGGCAUAACUUACAAAUGAAGGGAUAGGUAGGUUGCAGGUUCUGGGAAAGACGCAGUGCAGUCCGGCGGUGUUCUCUGGAGAACUCUCCUUGGUCUACCUCUAGCGUCCAGGGUCCAGGAAACAAGAGAGCACGGCGUGUCCAGAUCUCAGGUCUUCAGGGCCCUCUCUUGGCCCUGCCUUGUAGGCGUGACAGUUACUGAAGCCUCAAUGGGGUAGCUGGAAUGGCUACCCACUACAGGAAGACCUGGAGGAGACAAGGCCUUCUGGACACAGCGGGACUGAGGCAUACAGAACUCACAGACACUGUGGCAGCAGGCACAGCGCCUGCCCAGGGGCAGGCCAGACAGGAUCUCAGCUCUGAGAGCGGGGGAUGGACACGAGCUCCAACCCCUAACCAAGACACUGUCUACAACGGACACCCACUGAUGAAGGAAAAAUCAGUUUUUUCCAAUGGAGUAUCAAGAGUACAUAUUCCAGGGCAGACCCUGUGCCCAGCAGCUGACAGCCAACACUAAAUGAUCUCAAGGGUAUUUUUGUAGACAUUUUUGCCUCAUAUUGCUUUGUUUAGGAUUCUGCUGCUCUUCACAACACACCGACUGCCAAGACUGGGGUACCGAAUGAGAAGAGAUUUUCCAGCUAAGUUCUAGAGGACACCAUGAUCCACUGCCUUGUCACCAAUUCCAGAAGAAUGAGGUUUCACCCUGCAAGCUUUUCUCUUCCUGGUUCCCUCUUCUAAUUAACUACUCAGCUAAUUGUUACAAGAUCACCAUAGAGCUGGAGUCCAAGGAUCAUCAGAUAUACCCAGGUGCUCCACAAAAUCCACCUGGACAGGUCAGCAAGCUCUGGAACCGGCUUGAAUCCACCCAGACAGCACCUUGUCAGAUGAUUUCCAAGGCAGCAGAUGACCCAGGACGCCUGUCUACCUCCAAAGCCUCCUUCCCUACCCAGCUAAGAGUCAACCAACACCCACCAAGUCAGCUGGAAGCAGUUUUUCCGGGAGAAACGACGCCCCUAUUCCUGUUCACCCG